UACAGAGGUCUCAAGCGUUGUUCGGAUUCAUUGGGCGUAAAGGGAGCGUAGGCGGCUUUAUAAGUCGGGGGUGAAAGCCUGUGGCUCAACCACAGAAUUGCCUUCGAUACUGUAGAGCUUGAGACCGGAAGAGGUAAGUGGAACUGCGAGUGUAGAGGUGAAAUUCGUAGAUAUUCGCAAGAACACCAGUGGCGAAGGCGGCUUACUGGUCCGGUUCUGACGCUGAGGCGCGAAAGCGUGGGGAGCAAACAGG
Molecule: ribosomal RNA, 253 nt
Filed under: uncultured bacterium
Lineage: Bacteria
Description: partial 16S ribosomal RNA
Rfam family: Bacterial small subunit ribosomal RNA
Source: RNAcentral